GGUUAAGCGACUAAGCGUACACGGUGGAUGCCCUGGCAGUCAGAGGCGAUGAAGGACGUGCUAAUCUGCGAUAAGCGUCGGUAAGGUGAUAUGAACCGUUAUAACCGGCGAUUUCCGAAUGGGGAAACCCAGUGUGUUUCGACACACUAUCAUUAACUGAAUCCAUAGGUUAAUGAGGCGAACCGGGGGAACUGAAACAUCUAAGUACCCCGAGGAAAAGAAAUCAACCGAGAUUCCCCCAGUAGCGGCGAGCGAACGGGGAGCAGCCCAGAGCCUGAAUCAGUGUGUGUGUUAGUGGAAGCGUCUGGAAAGGCGUGCGAUACAGGGUGACAGCCCCGUACACAAAAAUGCACAUACUGUGAGCUCGAUGAGUAGGGCGGGACACGUGGUAUCCUGUCUGAAUAUGGGGGGACCAUCCUCCAAGGCUAAAUACUCCUGACUGACCGAUAGUGAACCAGUACCGUGAGGGAAAGGCGAAAAGAACCCCGGCGAGGGGAGUGAAAAAGAACCUGAAACCGUGUACGUACAAGCAGUGGGAGCACGCUUAGGCGUGUGACUGCGUACCUUUUGUAUAAUGGGUCAGCGACUUAUAUUCUGUAGCAAGGUUAACCGAAUAGGGGAGCCGAAGGGAAACCGAGUCUUAACUGGGCGUUAAGUUGCAGGGUAUAGACCCGAAACCCGGUGAUCUAGCCAUGGGCAGGUUGAAGGUUGGGUAACACUAACUGGAGGACCGAACCGACUAAUGUUGAAAAAUUAGCGGAUGACUUGUGGCUGGGGGUGAAAGGCCAAUCAAACCGGGAGAUAGCUGGUUCUCCCCGAAAGCUAUUUAGGUAGCGCCUCGUGAAUUCAUCUCCGGGGGUAGAGCACUGUUUCGGCAAGGGGGUCAUCCCGA
Molecule: ribosomal RNA, 892 nt
Filed under: Escherichia coli
Lineage: Bacteria; Pseudomonadati; Pseudomonadota; Gammaproteobacteria; Enterobacterales; Enterobacteriaceae
Description: partial 23S ribosomal RNA
Rfam family: Bacterial large subunit ribosomal RNA
Source: RNAcentral